AUUAUAGACCAGCUUGACUUGGGCCUUGAGUGAUUUAGUAUAGCGUUUUAGCAAGUCAUAUCUCUAGCAUGCCUGUGGGUUCUGUACAUCUUUGUACUCGCUUGAUAGCUAUAAAUUGAUUUGGCAUGUUUGUAAAUUCUUUUGUAUCUCUAUCUGCAAGUGAACAUAUUGAUUCCAUUUUCUUGGAUUGGCCGACUGGUUUACUUUAUUGUUGUGACUUGAUUGGGGGCAGCUAGGAAUUAUUAAUCGAGGCUGGUGUACAAAUCCUUGUAAGCCAUGGAUAAUCAAAAUUUAGUAAGGAUUGUCAAAGGUCACUUGAUAUGCUUGCAAUAGAAAAUAAUGAAGCUAUGAAAUGCUCCCAGGUUAGGACCUAAAUCUGUUGGAAUGGCUUGGGGAGCAAUGGUUUAGACUAAAUUAGAAGCAACCCAACAAACUAGGUGUAAGUUGAUUAUUAAGAGAUGGCUGGUGAAGAAAUUUGUGGCUUCAAUGAGAGAUCUAUGUGUUCUGUCCAUAUAAAUAAAGAGAACGGAUUUGGCUUAGCUUGACGGGUUUGGUAAUGCUAGUCAUAGUUUGGUUGAUGUGGCUUGCAUGUAUCUUCCUAAUAAAUUGUUGAAGCAUGAAUUGCUGUAUAGAUUUCAAUGUAGCGUUGGCAAGAAGAACAUGUAUUGAAAAUUAUAUCUGAUUAUCUUAAAUUAAUGAUUACUAACAAUUUUAGAUUGACCGAUACAUGUGUAUCUUUUUUUUNNNNNNNNNNNNNNNNNNNNAAUGUGGCUAUUGAGACCUCCAAAUUUGCUCACUAUACCUUUCAUUCUCUCUACACCUCCCUUUUACUUUUCAAUAUAAGUAUUUGCUCACUAGACCUUAUUUCAAAUUCCUAACAUAACCUUAGUUAUUUAUUGAUAUAUAUUUCAAUCAAUUAAUUACCUCUUAUUCAAUCAAUAGACCUCUCAUUCUUUUUUUUCUUUUUUCCCUUUUUGUUUGUCAACAUCUAUUAUCCCUACCUUCAUUUUUUUGGUUAUUUUUUUCAUGCAAGAAAAUGUUCUAUCAGGAACUACUCUAUAUAUCUUUUUAAUUGUUUUUCUCUCUUGUACGUGUUAUUUUUUCUCUAUUUUUUUCUUUUUGAAUAAUUUGAUCUCUAUUUUGUACCUCAUAAUAAAUUAUUUCAAUAAAUACAUAUUUUCUAUAAUUGAUAGAUAUUAAUUUUUUUUUGCUAAAUUAUUUAUGCAUCUUGCAAGUAUAUGCGUUCAACAUGUAUGAUAAUACAAAAUUGUAUGUCACAUGAUCGAUAUUGAUUAUUUUUUUAGCUCUUAUAAACUAUAUAUAUGCUUUAAUAAAAAGAAAUUGGGAAAAAAAAUAUAUAAGGAAAAUAAUAAAGAGUGAAAUCAAUUAUUAUUGAAUUGGAAAGUCUAAAGAGAAUAAAUACAAUAUUUCCUUUUGUAUAAUUAUUGUCCUUAAUAGUAAUUGUGUAUGAGGAUAUAUAUGUCAUUUAAUAAUUCAAAAUAGAGUGAGGUCUAGUGAGAAAAUUUAGAGGUCCCAAUAGCCGCCCUCAUAUUAUCUCAUGUCUGAUGUAAUUAAACUUAUUAUAAUUUGAAUAAACAAAGAAAAUAAUUCAGAGUAUGGUGAUCAAGUUACCUAAAUCAACAUUUUUAAAUCAAUAUCAUAAAUGAAUAUUUUAAACCUUCAUAAAAAGUCAAUUUAUUAGUGGGGAACUUCUUACCUCUUGAAUCACAAUAUUUCAUGAGCUACCGAAUAUCAAUGUUAAAUUUUCUUUCCAAUUUGCGAAUUUAAUUUAAGUUUUGAUUUUUUUGAUUACCUUAUUAUAAGGAGGAUUAAUUUAUAGAUGACAGUACGUAUACUAACAUGAAUGUUUGCAUAUCCUCUUAAUACAAACAUGCCUGUAUAGAUAGCCUAUACCAAAUAUAGUUUAUAUUAAUAACGAUCUAAUUAAUAAUCACAUCAAAUUAACAAAUAAUUAUACCAAAUAUUUUUUUGUUUUCAUCAAGGUCAUUUAAUUAACUUUUUUAAUCGAGUUGAUUAAGUUGAACUAAAUUAAAUGCAUUUAUUUAUGGAGUCAAAUAUUAUAAUAAUUCAUUAGAUUUAGGAUCACAAUUACGAUAUUAAUAAAAAAAUANNNNNNNNNNNNNNNNNNNNAUAAUAUAUAUAUAUAUAUAUAUAUAUAUUUCACAUUUUAAAUUUAAGCACGAGUAGUGAAAAAAUGGCUUCAAAAACAUCCUUUUAUAAAAUAAAAACAAAAUAAUCUAAAGUCAUUGGAUAUGAAAUGAUAAAAUUGUAUUUUUAUUUAAAAAUAACAUAACAUGAUUUUUUUAUAUUUGAUGAUGUGAGUAGGUGACUUAUCAUGCCACAUAGGAUUAAGGUCAUAAAUUCUAGGCCUUAAUAAUGGCCUUAAUAAGACCUAGAAACAUUUUUCAUCUAAGAAUUUGCUGGGUACGUUUAGAAACACCCUAAACAACUGAUUGAAACUUAGGGGGUUGUAUUCAAUUAGGAAUCUGUAGGAUUUUGUUGUAUUUUGAAAGUCUUUUAAAAUCUGAUGGUAUUCAAACAAGAUUUUAAACAGUCUGUUAAAAUCUUGUGGUAUUCAAUCCUGAUUUUAAAAAGUCUUUUAAACUCUAAUGGUAUUGAAAACUCCAUAGAUUUUCACGUAUUCUAUAACAUGCUAGAUUCUGUAGGAUUUAAAGAGCUUGGUAUAAAUACCAAACCCUAUCAGAAAUCUGCUCUCUGCAUGUGAGAUUUUGAGAUUCCGAACUGAAUAGACCUUCAGGACGAACUCGAUCCUCUUUCAACUGGUUUUACGAAUAAUAAGAGAACAACUCUACAGCGAUUGACCAAUCUCUACAGUCUCGGAGCAACGACAAUGGUGGUCUCAUCUUCAGAUCUCGACCUCGACGGAGCAGAAUCCAUCAAAGGUUUGAUUCAUAACCCUUAACUCGAUUGCCCCCCUUUUUGCUUUGCUCAAAAUUGAAAAGCUAGGGAUUUCCCCGAUUCAGAAAUCGUAAAACACUACAGAGUAGAAACCAAAAUGAAAAACUGAUUUGAGUGAUUAAUGAUUAGAGUCAUGGCAUAUGCUAUAUUGUUGACAGAGUGAUACAAUGCGUCAUUAGAUUUAUGGGUUGGAAUUAUCUGUAAUUUGGCCUAUGAAAUUUAGUUUCGGCUACCAUCAAUACACAGAUUUUUUUUAUGCAUUGAUUGGUUUCUAUAUAUAUAAAAUUCUACUAGCUUAGGCCUUAAAGAAAGCUUAAACCCAGAAAAACAACAUAGAUUGGUGGACAAGAAUGAUCCAGGACACAUAGAUUGAUUGAAGUAUGAGAGCACUAUUAGUGGAAUCCAUAGAAAUGUAUAAUACUGUAAUAUAUAUUGGCAUUGAAGUGAAUGGUUCUAUGAGUAACCUGUAAAUAUUAUACUAGUAAGCCAGCCCCCAACCUCCAUACUUUCUGUCCCAAGAGUUGAAGUGAAUGGUUCUAUGGUCUCCCGGGGCCUCUUUAUCCCUAGCAAUUUUGUAUGGGAAUUAGUUGCUAGCGGCUGUUAGUUUUUUUUUUUUUUUGAUACAAGCUGCUGUAGUUUUUCUCUCUAGUGUCUUUUUGUGCUUUUCUAGCUAGUUUGCUGUUGUUUUUGGUUUUAAGCUAGGCUCCUGUAUUCCUUGUUAACUGUAAGUUGUAGGUUCUUUGCCUGUUGGCUUCUAUGAAAGUUUCUUUCAGACCAAAAAAGAAGAAGCCCAUAACUGAGUAUUAUAUCCUGUGAUUAUUUGUGUCUGUUAUUAGGGACUUAUGAGAAGGAACAGACCUAGAAUGGCGGUGGAAGUGUCAACCAUUGCCUAACAGUGAGGAAAUCACAACUACAAUGUUGCAUUUUCUCAUGCAGGCAAAUCUAGAGGCAAGUGUUAGUGUUUGUAUAGUCAACGUUGUGCUUAGAUUUUCAUUUCGUAAUUUGUUAUAUGAAUGUGAUGUGGGCAGGUAGACAAAUAGUUUGAAUUAGAAAUCUAAAAUUUAAACUUCGUUGUUGGAACUUUGGAGUUUGAUAAUCUUGUUAGGCAUGUUAAAUUUGAUGACUCCCCUCAAUAUCUUUCUUACUAGUCAUGGAUAGUGAUAAGAACCUCAACAACUUUACAUGCCUCAAAGAUCCAUGUACAACAACUUUACUUUGGUAGGCUUUAUAGUCAUGAGUGUUUUUGGUGUGUAUCGAAUUCUUUGAGGAACCUCAGCAACUUUACAUGCCUCAAAGAAUCCAUAUACAACAACUUUACUUUGCUAGGCAUAACUGUUUUUGGUGUGUAUUAUCUACUUUGAGGAACCUCAAGAACUUUAUAUUUUGAAGUGUAAUUUUCUUUCUAGUCAUCAUAUUUGGUUGAUUAGCAGGGUAUGUUUUGUAUAAAGAAAAUUCUUCAACUUUACAGUGGAGGUCAUGUUAUAGUUAAAUUUCCUUUUCGGCCACUAUCAUUUUUAUUUAUAUGAAUAGGCUCAAAUGAAUCACUCCAUUGAGUACUAAUGCAUACUGGACUUCAUCACCAUGAUCUAAUCUACUUCUCAUUUAAUUUCCAAGUCAACUUACACUAAUAUUUGGAGGACUAAUGAAGUGGCCUUAGUGGUGUUACAGGAAGAAAAAACUCAAUGGAGUUGGAAAUUGGAAGAUGAACAAGGCAGAUGAUUUUAUCUUGCAUUGACCUUUUAUGCUGGUUGCUCUCAAGUUUCCUCUACACAAGUACAGAAGCAAAUAUAUGUUGAUAUCAAUUUGUCAUUAGGAGCGACAAACUGAAAUAAUUGUCUUCUCUUUGUCUACUACAUACACUUAUCCACACCCUGAAUUAUGAGAAAAUGUGUAAAUGUCACAUGUUUGUCAAUGGAAAUUUGUGGUAUAGUUCAUUAUGAUUCUUACAGUUAGAGUACUGUAACUUAUAAACCAUUUGCUUUGAGUUGGAUAUCUGGAAUAUUACUGCAAAAGUUGCUGCUAAGAUCCAAAGAAUGGGCAAUUGCCCAAUUAUGUUCCCAUGUAGAUUAUUGUUUUAUAGAAUAUAUAGCGGGAUAUGAGCAAUUGCACUGUAAAAGUCUAGUAACACAAUAUACUGAAAUCUAUUAAAAUCCAAUCAAAUCUUGGUCAUAGAAUACAUUAAAAUAUGUUCAACUCUGUAUAGAAUUAAAAGAAUCUGUGGAGUCUACAUAAUCAAUGAGAAUCCAUAAAGAAUGAGAAGUCAGACAAAAUCAAGAGAAGUCAGACAAAAUCAAUUAAAAUCUAAAUUGAAUACACCUGACAGGACAGAACUCACCAAGCAUACAGCCAUAUAUUGUAGAUGACAGUCAAUAAUGAUGAAUUGAUAAUCUAUAAAGCAAGUAAGGUCUCUCCAUUUGCUGAGGAUUUGAAAAUUACAGAUUUGUUAAUUCACUAAAUUAAAUUAAGAUCUUUGACCUAGUUCAUUAUAAUAAGCACCGCAUGGCUCUUAAGUCUCUUCCUAUGAUAGCAACCAGCAAGGCUAGGACUAAAAAACCAAACCUCAUGUAUUCACAACUCUCUCUCUCUCUCUCUCUCUCUCUCUCUCUCUCUCUCUACAGUCUUCACUACAUAAAUAUAUAUGUAAGCAUCAUCUUGUGUAUAUAUUAUGAGAGUCGAUCCAAUUUUGCAAACGCCAGUAAACUUCAUGUUACCUACGCCCAAGACUAGGACAAUAUGUAAUUAAGAACCCUACGUAUGGAAUAAUCUACUAACAUUUUCUGUCAAUAUAUUUGAUCUCUGAACAAAUAAAGAACACGCGGAGACAAACCCCAUUAUAUACAGUCCUACACAACUUUGUGGCCUUGCACUCUUCUGCGACUAGCUUUCAUUUCCUCUUCCACUCUCCUAAACCUUGAUAUUUGAUCUUGGUGUUUUCCAAUGGCUUUGAGCACCCAAAUAGCCUCCUCAUCAUCUCAUGCUUUGGCUGAGUCAUCUCCCCGUUGGAAGUUCGACGUUUUCUUGAGUUUCAGAGGUGAAGACACGCGCCGGGGUUUCAUCUCCCAUUUAUACAACAAACUGCAGUUCUGCCAAUUAUUCAAGACUUUCAUCGACGAUCGAGAGCUUGAAAUAGGAUCUGAGAUCUCCCCGGAGCUAUUAAGCGCUAUCGAACAUUCUCAUCUCGCCAUCGUUGUUAUCUCACCCCACUAUGCUUCUUCCACUUGGUGCUUGGAUGAGCUUGCCAAGAUCAUCGAGUCUAUGAACCCCGGAGAUAAGAGAGUUCUCCCGGUUUUCCUUAAUGUGGAUCCGUCCGACGUUCGACAUCAAAGGAAUAGCUUUACUGAAGCCUUUGCUGAGCAUGAAGUGAAGUUCAGUGAUGACCCCAAGAAGGUGGAGAGGUGGAGACAUGCUUUGAGAAAAGUGGCCAAUCUAUCUGGAUGGGAUGCAAAGAAUUAUAAGUAAGCAUUACAACAAGGAAAAUGUUUCUAGGCCUUAUUAAGGUCUAGGAUUUAUGACUUUAAUCCUAGGUGACAUGAUAAGUCACAUAUCCACAUCAUCAAAUAAAAAAAAAUCAUGUUAUGUCAUUUUAGGUAAAAAUACAAUUUUAUCUUUUUAUAUCUAAUGACUUUAGAUUAUUUUGUUUUUAUUCUAUAAAAAGAUGUUUUGAAGCCAUUUUUUUUUCAUUACUCGUGCUUAAAUUUAAAAUGUGAAAUAUAUAUAUAUAUACAUAAUUAUAUAUACUCGGUUCGAAAAUCUAAACUCAUUUGAAUAUAUACACGCACACACAUACAUAAUUUUUCCAAAGAGAAAAUUAUACAUAUAUAUGUAUCUAUAUAUUUUUUUAUAUAUAGUUCAUCCAAUAUAAGUUCGAUGGAGAAUAUAAAUAUAAUAUAUAUAGUCCAUAUAUAUAUAAAGUAAAAAGAAAAAUAAUGGUGAAUUAAAAAGUUUAAAACUAUUUGAUUGACAAAGAUGAUUUUUUUUGUUAAUAUCGUAAUUGUGACCCUAAAUCGAAUGAAUUAUUAUAAUAUUUAACUCCAUAAAUAAAUGCAUUUAAUUUAGUUCAACUAAAUCAACUUGAUUAAAAAAAUUAACUAAAUGAUCUUGAUGAAAACAAAAAUAUAUAUUUGGUAUAAUUAUUCGUUAAUUUGGGGUGAUUAUUAAUUAGAUCGUUAUUAAUAAACUAUAUUUGAUAUAGGCUAUCUAUAUAUAUAGGCAUGUCCGUAUUAAGAGGAUAUGCAAACAUUCAUAUUAGUAUACGUACUGUCAUCUAUAAAUUAAUCCUCCUUAUAAUAAGGUAAUCAGAAAAAUCAAAACUUAAAUUAAAUUCACAAAUUGGAAAGAAAAUUUAACAUUCAUAUUCGGUAGCUCAUGAAAUAUUGUGAUUUAAGAGGUAAGAAGUUCCCCACUAAUAAAUUGACUUUUUAUGAAGGUUUAAAAUAUUCAUUUAUGAUAUUGAUUUAAAAAUGUUGAUUUAUGUAACUUGAUGACCAUACUCUGAAUUAUUUUCCUUGUGAUUCGUUCAGAUUAUAAUAAGUUUAUGUCAUACAUGAGAUUUUUUGGUCAAGAGAUGAACUUCAUUGAAUAGGUACGAGGUAUACUGAUUGAAUAGGUAUGUUAAGCGUGAAGUGAUACUUCAUUAAGGAAUGUCUAAAAUAGAAGCCAUCAUCCACAUUAACAUAAACUAACAUACUGUUCUACACGAAUAAAUCCGUACUAGGUAUCCAAUGAUAAUUUCAAUAACAUUGAAAAAGAAGCUAGCCAUCUUUGAUACAACAAGUUGAAGUCAGGAACAUAUCUUAUAGUAACAAACAAGUACUAAGUAGUCAAUAAUGAACUAAUAAUCUUCCCUUAGAACUUUCCCUAAUAGAAUAUUCAUAUUGAAAUAAGAGUGCGACUAUUGGAACCUCCAAAUUUGCUCAGUAUAGCUCUCAUGCUCUUUACACCUCAUUUUUAAUUUUAACUACAACCAUUUGCUCACUAUACCUCCUUUCAAAUUCCUAAAAUAACCUUAGGUAUGUUAUUCAC
Molecule: long non-coding RNA, 7962 nt
Filed under: Fragaria vesca (wild strawberry)
Lineage: Eukaryota; Viridiplantae; Streptophyta; Magnoliopsida; Rosales; Rosaceae
Description: long non-coding RNA (FVES_LNC000275)
Source: RNAcentral